GAUGAAGAACGCAGCGAAAUGCGAUAAGUAGUGUGAAUUGCAGAAUUCAGUGAAUCAUCGAAUCUUUGAACGCACAUUGCGCCCCUUGGUAUCCCGAGGGGCUUGCCUGUUCGAGCGUCAUUUCACCACUCAAGCCUGGCUUGGUGUUGGGCGACGUCCCCUUUAGGGACGCGCCUCGAAACGCUCGGCGGCGUGGCACCGGCUUUAAGCGUAGCAGAAUCUUUCGCUUUGGAAGUCGGGGCCCCGCCUGCCGGAAUACCUACUCGUAAGGUUGACCUCGGAUCAGGCAGGGAUACCCGCUGAACUUAAGCAUAUCAAUAAGCGGAGGA
This 329-nucleotide unclassified non-coding RNA is filed under the name soil metagenome. RNAcentral describes it as "partial contains 5.8S ribosomal RNA, internal transcribed spacer 2, and large subunit ribosomal RNA". The stretch from base 1 to 120 matches the Rfam family "5.8S ribosomal RNA", at positions 35 to 154 of the family's 154-position model. The record is from RNAcentral.